AGGAAGCAGCAGCCUCCGCUCCGCGGCGGGUGUGCUCGGCAGUCACAGACCCACUCAGGACACCUCCCGUUGCCGACGGGCUAGACCUGCCUUAAAGGGGUCCCCGUGUCUCUCCAGUCUAGAGCCUAAGUUCAAACGAGGCGUAUAGGCGAGGACAGCAGGAAGGCUCCAAGUCAAACAAACGGAUGGUACGAAUUUCGCCUGGUCUAGCCCUGCCCCAACGGUGUGGGUGUGGGUUGGGUGCUGCAGCCCCCGAGCAAGGGGCUGUCACAGCCACAACCAGAGGAGCUAUGGAGCUGCUACGGAGGAGGGAUUCCAGAGUCAGCUUGGGCUUGUCCCAAGGGAGCCCUUGGGACAGUGUCUGGGGCUGCGCGGCCUGGUUCUCAUCCCUUGCAGCAUCUGCUAUUUUAGCCAGGGGCCACCUUCCUCCAAUGGCCUGGGAGUAGCUAGAGGUUAGAGGUUACACCCACCAGAAGGGAUGUAAGCCCAGGAAGUAGUCAGAAAGGAAAGGUCAUUCUAGAGAUGGGGCCACCUGAAAAACCUUCAGGAGGAAGGAGAAAGGAAAUGGGAUAAGUGUCAUGUCAUACUAAAUAUUUAUUUUCUGCAGACUGACUUCGGAGUAAUUCUUGAGCCAGGAGGGGAGAGGUUAGUGUUCAAAUUGCUGAGAUCUUAGGUCAAAAAGCUACAGAAAAGAAAUCACUUUGAAAAACACAAUGACUCAGAGGCAGUCACCCCUUGCCAGCAAUUCCAAGAGCUGAGGAGGCUUCAUGCCUCAGGACAUGGUGACUAGUUGAGUGAACCAGAGAUUGAGGCAGUGGUUUUUACAGGGGAAGAAACAAGCCUUGGGUGUAUGGGAGCAGGAAAGGAGGGUGACAGACUGGAGAAAUGAUAAAGGCCAUUUUGGAAGCCCACAGGGAAGUGGUCUUGGGAAACCUGAAGACACUGGGAUAUUCAGAAGGCCAAGGGGAUCCAGCUUAUCCUGUUGGGCAAGGUGCUGGGAGUGAAGGCAGGUCACCUGAAUGAUACUGGUGCCAUUUCUGAAGUUGGUGAAACUCCGCAUUACAUCCUGACUCAGAGAUUCCACUGAUGAUUUCCAGGAACUACCAAAGCCACGGAUCAGCUGAGUUACCCGGGCUAAUAGCAGGAGGAAACAGUGUCAGAGAGGGAUCUGGCUGAUCUUCAACUCCACUAAGUUCUCCCCAAGGUAUAGCCAUCCUUAUCAUCAAACCCUCUUUUCUGGUAUUCUCUCAAUCCAGUCUUUCAUACUCUAUUCCCCCACCAUGUAAUCUGCAUCCUUUCAUUUUUCUUUUCCACUUCCCUUACCACUGAUCCCAUCAUUACCAUAUUUUCCUCAUACCUUCUUCCCCUCGAAGUCGCUCAGCCUGUCCACGCUCAAUCAAAGCCUCAGCCUCCUUCACAAAUGCCACUAAACCCCCAAAAGGGGGAGACAGCAACUCUUCAAUGAAUUCCUGGAAAGACACAAACACAUAUACACAGGUGUCCUGGUGUCAGCAGAUUUGCCCAAUUCUGGCAUCAUGACUAAUGUAGAUCCAUCUGAAUGGCAUCUUUCAGCUGCUGCAAAAGUUAAGGAAAAUCCUCUAUGGAGAAAAAUAUCCUCAAUCCUAAUUUUGGCCCAUACAGUUCCCCUGGUUAAGAUCAAACAAUGAACUCAAAGAUCACUAGACACAAAAGAAGGGCAGCUACCAAGAGAGUCAGCAGACACAAUAAGCAAUAGCUGCUGACCUUAAGAACUAUCCGAUACGGAUAGCAGUUGUACUGUGUGCAAUGUCUAAAGUUAAGGAUAGGCCGGGCACAGUGGCUCACGCCUGUAAUCCCAGCACUUUGGGAGGCUGAGGUGGGCAGAUCACCUGAGGUCAGGAGUUCAAGACCAGCCUGGCCAACAUGAUGAAACCCCAUCUCUACUAAAAAUACAAAAAUUAGCUGGGC
Long non-coding RNA from Homo sapiens (human), 1947 nucleotides. Ensembl annotates it as HLA complex group 25. Its record names the gene HCG25. Lineage: Eukaryota; Metazoa; Chordata; Mammalia; Primates; Hominidae. The record is from Ensembl.